GAUGAACGCUGGCGGCGUGCCUAAUACAUGCAAGUCGAGCGAACGGACGAGAAGCUUGCUUCUCUGAUGUUAGCGGCGGACGGGUGAGUAACACGUGGAUAACCUACCUAUAAGACUGGGAUAACUUCGGGAAACCGGAGCUAAUACCGGAUAAUAUUUUGAACCGCAUGGUUCCAAAGUGAAAGACGGUCUUGCUGUCACUUAUAGAUGGAUCCGCGCUGCAUUAGCUAGUUGGUAAGGUAACGGCUUACCAAGGCAACGAUGCAUAGCCGACCUGAGAGGGUGAUCGGCCACACUGGAACUGAGACACGGUCCAGACUCCUACGGGAGGCAGCAGUAGGGAAUCUUCCGCAAUGGGCGAAAGCCUGACGGAGCAACGCCGCGUGAGUGAUGAAGGUCUUCGGAUCGUAAAACUCUGUUAUUAGGGAAGAACAUAUGUGUAAGUAACUGUGCACAUCUUGACGGUACCUAAUCAGAAAGCCACGGCUAACUACGUG
RNAcentral lists this ribosomal RNA (497 nucleotides) under uncultured bacterium. Its description in RNAcentral is "partial 16S ribosomal RNA". It matches the Rfam family "Bacterial small subunit ribosomal RNA", at positions 28 to 507 of the family's 1533-position model. The record is from RNAcentral.